GUCCAGCAACUAGCGAAUAAUAGUAGUUUUAAAAUCUACAUAUUAAUAACCUAUAAAAAAUUAAAACAACCUAAACAAACCAUUUUUCCGCCUUAGUAUGGGAGACAGGAAAGGCCUUAUCAGCAAUAGAAAAAGUACCGCAAGGGAAAGUUGAAAGAGAACUGAAACAAUCAAGCAACACAUAAAAAAGCAGAGAUUUAACCUCGUAC
This 209-nucleotide ribosomal RNA is filed under the name Synchiropus splendidus (mandarinfish). RNAcentral's name for it is "partial 16S ribosomal RNA". Lineage: Eukaryota; Metazoa; Chordata; Actinopteri; Syngnathiformes; Callionymidae. The record is from RNAcentral.